Non-coding RNA from Xenopus laevis (African clawed frog), 419 nucleotides. NCBI's taxonomy places the organism in Eukaryota, Metazoa, Chordata, Amphibia, Anura, Pipidae. The record is from the annotation of a RefSeq genome assembly.
UGUUAACAUGGACUUCAUUAAAUUUUUCAUUUUAAUGUUUUUUUCGCCAUCAUUUAUCCUGUGUCAGACAUUACAAGAGUCUGGUCCUGGAACUGUGAAACCCUCAGAGUCACUCAGACUGACCUGCACAGUUUCUGGGUUUGAGCUAACUAGCUAUGGUGUGCACUGGAUCAGGCAGCCUCCUGGGAAGGGACUGGAAUGGAUUGCAUCUGUAUGGGCGAGUGUAAGCACAGCUAUUGCAGAUUCACUUAAAAACAGAGUUACAAUUACUAGAGAUACCGGGAAGAAGCAGGUCUACCUCCAAAUGACUGGGAUGGAAGUUAAAGACACUGCCAUGUAUUACUGUGCAAGAGACACAGUGACAGAAGAGAAUGAGGAAGUCAGACAAUAACAAAAUGUCAAAUUACAUUGCACAGUGU